Molecule: transfer RNA, 73 nt
Filed under: Pristipomoides sieboldii (lavender jobfish)
Lineage: Eukaryota; Metazoa; Chordata; Actinopteri; Lutjaniformes; Lutjanidae
Description: tRNA-Val
Rfam family: tRNA
About the family: Transfer RNA (tRNA) molecules are approximately 80 nucleotides in length. Their secondary structure includes four short double-helical elements and three loops (D, anti-codon, and T loops). Further hydrogen bonds mediate the characteristic L-shaped molecular structure. tRNAs have two regions of fundamental functional importance: the anti-codon, which is responsible for specific mRNA codon recognition, and the 3' end, to which the tRNAs corresponding amino acid is attached (by aminoacyl-tRNA synthetases). tRNAs cope with the degeneracy of the genetic code in two manners: having more than one tRNA (with a specific anti-codon) for a particular amino acid; and 'wobble' base-pairing, i.e. permitting non-standard base-pairing at the 3rd anti-codon position.
Source: RNAcentral
CAGGUCAUAGCUCAAAACAGGAGAGCGUCUCCCUUACACUGAGAAGAUAUACGUGCAAACCGGAUUGUCCUGA